RNAcentral lists this transfer RNA (77 nucleotides) under Bacteriophage sp. RNAcentral's name for it is "tRNA-Asn". It matches the Rfam family "tRNA". From Rfam's summary of the family: Transfer RNA (tRNA) molecules are approximately 80 nucleotides in length. RNAcentral also lists the same sequence under 1 other name. The record is from RNAcentral.
GGUUUCAUAGUUCAGUUGGUUAGAACGAAGGACUGUUAAUCCUUAUGUCGCCCGUUCGAGUCGGGCUGGAACCUCCA